GACGAACCGUGCGAACGUUGUUCGGAAUCACUGGGCUUAAAGGGCGCGUAGGCGGCUUGCCAAGUCAGUGGUGAAAUCCUGCAGCUUAACUGUAGAAGUGCCUUUGAUACUGGCAAGCUAGAGGGAGGUAGGGGUCUGUGGAACUUCUGGUGGAGCGGUGAAAUGCGUUGAUAUCAGAAGGAACGCCGGUGGCGAAAGCGACGGACUGGACCUCUUCUGACGCUGAGGCGCGAAAGCCAGGGGAGCAAACGGG
This 253-nucleotide ribosomal RNA is filed under the name uncultured bacterium. RNAcentral's name for it is "partial 16S ribosomal RNA". It matches the Rfam family "Bacterial small subunit ribosomal RNA", at positions 524 to 776 of the family's 1533-position model. The record is from RNAcentral.